Molecule: non-coding RNA, 74 nt
Organism: Apaloderma vittatum (bar-tailed trogon)
Lineage: Eukaryota; Metazoa; Chordata; Aves; Trogoniformes; Trogonidae
Source: Rfam
GGCCGGUUAGCUCAGUCGGUUAGAGCAUGGUGCUGAUAACAACAAGGUCGCAGGUUCGAUCCCUGCACGGUCCC